Molecule: ribosomal RNA, 220 nt
Filed under: uncultured bacterium
Lineage: Bacteria
Description: partial 16S ribosomal RNA
Rfam family: Bacterial small subunit ribosomal RNA
Source: RNAcentral
AACGCGAAGAACCUUACCCAGGUUAGAAGUGCAGGGGACGAUAUCAGAGAUGAUAUUUUCCGAAAGGACCGCUGCAUAGGUGCUGCAUGGCUGUCGUCAGCUCGUGCCGUGAGGUGUUGGGUUAAGUCCCGCAACGAGCGCAACCCUUAUCAUUAGUUGCCAACAUUUGAGGUGGGGACUCUAAUGAGACUGCCUAGGUUAACUAGGAGGAAGGUGGGAG